This 492-nucleotide ribosomal RNA is filed under the name uncultured bacterium. Its description in RNAcentral is "partial 16S ribosomal RNA". It matches the Rfam family "Bacterial small subunit ribosomal RNA", at positions 29 to 507 of the family's 1533-position model. The record is from RNAcentral.
AGUGAACGCUGGCGGUAGGCCUAACACAUGCAAGUCGAACGGCAGCACAGUAAGAGCUUGCUCUUACGGGUGGCGAGUGGCGGACGGGUGAGGAAUACAUCGGAAUCUACUUUUUCGUGGGGGAUAACGUAGGGAAACUUACGCUAAUACCGCAUACGACCUAAGGGUGAAAGCAGGGGAUCUUCGGACCUUGCGCGAUUGAAUGAGCCGAUGUCGGAUUAGCUAGUUGGCGGGGUAAAGGCCCACCAAGGCGACGAUCCGUAGCUGGUCUGAGAGGAUGAUCAGCCACACUGGAACUGAGACACGGUCCAGACUCCUACGGGAGGCAGCAGUGGGGAAUAUUGGACAAUGGGCGCAAGCCUGAUCCAGCCAUACCGCGUGUGUGAAGAAGGCCUUCGGGUUGUAAAGCCCUUUUGUUGGGAAAGAAAAGCAGCAGGUUAAUACCCCGCUGUUCUGACGGUACCCAAAGAAUAAGCACCGGCUAACUUCGUG